Molecule: non-coding RNA, 88 nt
Organism: Ceratobasidium sp. 370
Lineage: Eukaryota; Fungi; Basidiomycota; Agaricomycetes; Cantharellales; Ceratobasidiaceae
Source: the annotation of a GenBank genome assembly
UCCCGCUUAGCUCAGUGGUAGAGCGCGUCACUAGUAAAUCUUUGAUUAAACAAUGACGAGGCCAGUCGUUCGAAUCGGCUAGUGGGAA